UGGGCGCAGCCUGAUGCAGCCAUGCCGCGUGUGUGAAGAAGGCCUUCGGGUUGUAAAGCACUUUCAGUCGUGAGGAAGGUGGUGUAGUUAAUAGCUGCAUUAUUUGACGUUAGCGACAGAAGAAGCACCGGCUAACUCCGUGCCAGCAGCCGCGGUAAUACGGAGGGUGCGAGCGUUAAUCGGAAUUACUGGGCGUAAAGCGCAUGCAGGUGGUUUGUUAAGUCAGAUGUGAAAGCCCGGGGCUCAACCUCGGAAUUGCAUUUGAAACUGGCAGACUAGAGUACUGUAGAGGGGGGUAGAAUUUCAGGUGUAGCGGUGAAAUGCGUAGAGAUCUGAAGGAAUACCGGUGGCGAAGGCGGCCCCCUGGACAGAUACUGACACUCAGAUGCGAAAGCGUGGGGAGCAAACAGGAUUAGAUACCCUGGUAGUCCACGCCGUAAACGAUGUCUACUUGGAGGUUGUGGCCUUGAGCCGUGGCUUUCGGAGCUAACGCGUUAAGUAGACCGCCUGGGGAGUACGGUCGCAAGAUUAAAACUCAAAUGAAUUGACGGGGGCCCGCACAAGCGGUGGAGCAUGUGGUUUAAUUCGAUGCAACGCGAAGAACCUUACCUACUCUUGACAUCCAGAGAACUUUCCAGAGAUGGAUUGGUGCCUUCGGGAACUCUGAGACAGGUGCUGCAUGGCUGUCGUCAGCUCGUGUUGUGAAAUGUUGGGUUAAGUCCCGCAACGAGCGCAACCCUUAUCCUUGUUUGCCAGCGAGUAAUGUCGGGAACUCCAGGGAGACUGCCGGUGAUAAACCGGAGGAAGGUGGGGACGACGUCAAGUCAUCAUGGCCCUUA
Molecule: ribosomal RNA, 839 nt
Filed under: Vibrio sp. HDP8
Lineage: Bacteria; Pseudomonadati; Pseudomonadota; Gammaproteobacteria; Vibrionales; Vibrionaceae
Description: bacterial SSU rRNA
Rfam family: Bacterial small subunit ribosomal RNA
Source: RNAcentral